GACGAACGCUGGCGGCGUGCUUAACACAUGCAAGUCGUACGGUAAGGCCCUUUCGGGGGUACACGAGUGGCGAACGGGUGCGUAACACGUGAGUAACCUGCCCACAACUUUGGGAUAACGCUAGGAAACUGGUGCUAAUACUGGAUAUGUGCUCCUGCUGCAUGGUGGGGGUUGGAAAGCUCCGGCGGUUGUGGAUGGACUCGCGGCCUAUCAGCUUGUUGGUGGGGUAGUGGCCUACCAAGGCGGCGACGGGUAGCCGGCCUGAGAGGGUGACCGGCCACAUUGGGACUGAGAGACGGCCCAGACUCCUACGGGAGGAAGCAGUGGGGAAUAUUGCACAAUGGGCGCAAGCCUGAUGCAGCAACGCCGCGUGCGGGAUGACGGCCUUCGGGUUGUAAACCGCUUUCAGCAGGGACGAAGCUUUUUGUGACGGUACCUGCAGAAGAAGCACCGGCUAACUACGUG
RNAcentral lists this ribosomal RNA (465 nucleotides) under uncultured bacterium. RNAcentral describes it as "partial 16S ribosomal RNA". It matches the Rfam family "Bacterial small subunit ribosomal RNA", at positions 28 to 507 of the family's 1533-position model. The record is from RNAcentral.